This 484-nucleotide ribosomal RNA is filed under the name uncultured bacterium. Its description in RNAcentral is "partial 16S ribosomal RNA". It matches the Rfam family "Bacterial small subunit ribosomal RNA", at positions 30 to 507 of the family's 1533-position model. The record is from RNAcentral.
AUUGAACGCUGGCGGCAGGCCUAACACAUGCAAGUCGAGCGGAUGAAGGGAGCUUGCUCCUGGAUUCAGCGGCGGACGGGUGAGUAAUGCCUAGGAAUCUGCCUGGUAGUGGGGGAUAACGUCCGGAAACGGGCGCUAAUACCGCAUACGUCCUGAGGGAGCAAGCGGGGGAUCUUCGGACCUCACGCUAUCAGAUGAGCCUAGGUCGGAUUAGCUAGUUGGUGGGGUAAAGGCCUACCAAGGCGACGAUCCGUAACUGGUCUGAGAGGAUGAUCAGUCACACUGGAACUGAGACACGGUCCAGACUCCUACGGGAGGCAGCAGUGGGGAAUAUUGGACAAUGGGCGAAAGCCUGAUCCAGCCAUGCCGCGUGUGUGAAGAAGGUCUUCGGAUUGUAAAGCACUUUAAGUUGGGAGGAAGGGCAGUAAGUUAAUACCUUGCUGUUUUGACGGUACCAACAGAAUAAGCACCGGCUAACUUCGUG